CCACAGACCCAAGUCAAAUGCUGAGGCGCGUAACAGUGGAAGUUCGCAGGUAUGAGCGCGCGUUUCGGUCUUCGCUCUGAGCUUUGAAAUACUUCUCGACUUCAACGCGCUAUGCCUUCCGAUAUUUUGGUUGGAGAGGGAGAAGGACAGGAUGGAGAACAAGGCGACUGAUGUCUGUAUGGACUGAAGACAAGAGCGCGCUAUGGAGAUGACCGCUCGCCUCGCGCACUUGGACACCAAGUUGGAUGGCAGAAACUGUGAUGGACUUGUCAACCAUAACGGGGAAACGACUGAGAUAAGACUACCGCUGUCUCACACGGGGAAGAGACUCGGUCCGAUCGAGGGGGGAAAUCUUUACAGACUGCGUGACAGAAAGUUCCUUCUGGAGGACAAGAAGCGCCUCUGCGCGUGGGCACUGGGAGCCGCGCUGUUAGGCAUUCUGCUGAUGAUAUUACAUGCUGAGCUGUGCCCACUAGUGUAUCAACCAGAAUCCAUUUAUGCCCUCUCCAUAAAUGGUCUCAUCAGUUUCUCCACGGGUUGUUUGCUCAUUCUCAUCAUCGCCUUCCAUUAUAAAGACAUCAGACUUUUUAUCAUUGACCACAACCAGGUGGACUGGCGCAUUGCCAUGACCAGUAACCGGGUGCUUGGCAUCUCCCUGGAGCUCGUUGUCUGUGCUAUCCAUCCCGUGGCUAUCUACCUGAGGCCAGAUAUGGGGGACAGACUGGGGGGGGAGCCAGAGCAAAAUUCCUCUACCCCCCUCUGCUUGUCCUCGAGUCACAAAGAAGUCAUGCUGGAUGUGGAGCUGCUGCUGUCGGCCCUCAUGUUCCUGAGACUGUAUCUCGUGCACAGAGCCGUCCUGUUACAUAGCAAGGUGCUGCUCAGCGCCUCGUACAGGAGCAUCGGCUCCCUCAACAACAUCAACUUCAGCUUCCGCUUUGUGCUCAAGGUGCUAAUGAACAAGUAUCCGGCCCGCACGCUGCUGGUCUUUAUUAUGUUUUUCUGGCUCUCCGCAGCUUGGAUGCUGCGACUGUGUGAAAGGCAGCAACAGGUAGAGACAGGUGGCAUGGACACAGCAUUGUGGCUGAUAGCCAUCACCUUCCUCACAGUGGGAUAUGGAGAUGUGUACCCUCGCACCAGCUGUGGCAAGUUGGUGUGUCUCUUCACAGGUGUCAUGGGUGUGGCAUGUACUGCUAUGUUGGUAGCAGUCAUGACUAAGAAACUGGCGCUUAACAAAGGGGAGAAACAUGUGCAUUUCUUCAUGAUGGACAUUCAGAUCUCCAAGCGGAUGGAGAGCAUACAUAAAAUUGAUAAGAUGAUGGAGAUUGCCAGGAGCUGGGGACAGGUGAGUAUAGAAGGUUUGGAGUGAAAAGAUUGAGGGAGACACUAGAAGACACGAGGGAGACAAAACAAAUCUCUGAAUGAGGUAAGUAGAAGAUCGCGGGUAAGACGAACAUACAUUUUGAGUCCUUAAUCCACAAUGGAGACCAAACAAUGAGGCAGUAAGGAGUGUGUGCUUUUAUAGUGCUGGCUGAGUGAUGAGAUCAUCUGUGACAGACUGAUUAGAAUUCUGGUGAUUGAGUGCGCUAUGUGAUGGGUGAGCCUGGUGUGGCCAUGACAGAACCCCCCUUUCCAUGGCCCGCUCCUGAGGGCCUCAACGUCAUGGUGGAUGACCUUGACUAUGUGAUGCAUGGAACUCAGCUAGAAGAUUGGGGUCUAAGAUGUCAUGCCUGGGGACCCAAGAUCUAUCCUCUGGACCAUUGCUUUCCCAAUCAACAAGGUGUUCCAGCCAACAACUACAGCACCGGGAGUUCAAGAUCUCCUUGACUGCACAAACCAUUCCAUCCUCUAGUACAGGGGUGGCAGUCCUGACGACUUUUGCUUGAAGCCUAAUCAAACAGACCUGGACAAGCUAAUCAAGGCCUGAAGGGUUGAAGUCUGCUGGACUGUGGCUCUCCAGGACCGGAGUAGCUAUCCUGGCUCUAGUACUAUUCGAAGAGGGGGAUCAACCAUGGGAACAGGCUCUGUGGGAACAGGAGAAACAGAGCUGGAGAACACACAAAGAAUUAAUGAAAUUAUGGAGAUUACCAGGAUCUGGGGACAGGUGAGUAUAGCAGGAUUCGAGUUAGGAGAUAGAGGGAGACACUGGAGAAGACAAGGGAGAAAAAAAAAAGAUCUUGUAAGGAGGUACGAAUGAGAUCAUGGGUAAGCAGAGCAUACAUUUUGAGUCCUUGAUCCACAAGGGAGGCAAGAAAAUUAGGCUGUGAGGAGUGUGUGCUUUUAUAGUGCUGGCUGAGGGAUGAGAUGAUCCUUACUGUGACUGAUUAGAAUGCUGGUGAUUAUAAUCUGUAUAUGAUCUGUGGGAAGCUGACACAAAUACUUUUGAAGAGUAGAAUAAAAAAAUCAAUUAAAAAAAUCAAAUUUUAAAUGUGUGUUAUUUUAAUUAUUAUUUAAUUUAUGUAUUUAAACAAUAUUUAAUUUUUUAUAAAACUAUAAUAUAUUAUUUAAU
Carassius carassius (crucian carp) is the source of this 2506-nucleotide RNA transcript. It is a transcript of the gene named intermediate conductance calcium-activated potassium channel protein 4-like, with no coding region annotated. Lineage: Eukaryota; Metazoa; Chordata; Actinopteri; Cypriniformes; Cyprinidae. The transcript is spliced from 7 exons. The record is from RefSeq and is a predicted model, not a curated record.